Molecule: non-coding RNA, 98 nt
Organism: Acanthosepion pharaonis
Lineage: Eukaryota; Metazoa; Mollusca; Cephalopoda; Sepiida; Sepiidae
Source: the annotation of a GenBank genome assembly
GUUGAAACACCAGUUCCUGUACGAUCAUCGAAGUUAAGCAACGUCGAGCCUGAUCAGUACCCUAGAUGGGUGACCGCUUGGGGAAUACCAGGUACAGU